This is a long non-coding RNA of Brassica napus (rape), 3757 nucleotides long. RefSeq lists it as uncharacterized. NCBI's taxonomy places the organism in Eukaryota, Viridiplantae, Streptophyta, Magnoliopsida, Brassicales, Brassicaceae. The record is from RefSeq and is a predicted model, not a curated record. The transcript is spliced from 2 exons.
UAUUGUAACAUCCGAGUUGUGAUAUAUGAAAAUGCUUAAGAGAAUUGAUUUGGCUACUUAUGUCAUCAAAGUUGACUUACAUUUUCCGUCGCACAUCCGUUUAGAACUUCAGAGUUAGGCAUGCUUUAUCUGGAAUAACGGAAGGAUGAGUGACCUAUCAGGAAGUGAUCUGCAAUACCGUGUGAGUGAGGCCAAAGCACAUGGAAAAGUCACGUGGUGAUUAAAGGGUUAGUAAAUAAGACUUUCGUGUCUUUGGAAAAUUAACACACCGACCGUUAGAAUGAAAUUGGAUCUACGGACCGAGAAAACGACGUGGAUGGCCUAUUAACUGUGGGCGGUUGGGACAUUAUAGUUAUUCUACCCAUAGUUGAAUUAAAAUAAAUUAUUUUAAUACUUAGUGUAGUGAAUAGUGUGUUUUACUAAAUUUGGUAUAAUAAUAUUUACAAAAUAUUAAUUUUGGAAAGAACAAUAUUAUAUUUGGUACUAUAUUGGAGAUGAAAUUACAAUAAUUUGUUGUUUUGGUGUUUCAUUAGAAUUGGUCUAAAAACACUACAACUAACAAGCGAAGGAUGGACGGACAAAUGAUUAAAAGGUGAAGCUCAAAACCCAAAAUUACAGAGCCAAACUAUACAUACUCGGAGCUGUUUAAUUUUAUGUUUCUUUAGCUUUAUAUAAUUUUGUGUUGAUCCCUCCUAUAAGAUUAUAGUCUGUUUUUCUUCAUUUUUCUGUGGUGAAAAUUUCCUUUCACUCUUGAGAUAUUUUGCCAUAAAAAUCCUCUGAUAAUUAAGAAGUUAUCAUAAGUAAUUGUAUCUGCUAAAUAGGAAAAAUAUACAUUAUUCAAAAUGGUCCUAACAGAAAUUAGUACGACAAGAUUUAAACGAGUUGUACUAUAUAUUAACCAAAAUAUAUUUAGUUUCUAAAAGGAAUUUUAUUGUUUGAUAAAGGAAUUAGGUGUAUAAUAUAUACGUAUUAUAUCAUCAACAUUAUUUGCUAUUGAAGCCCGUCAUGGCUGAGCAAAGUAUGUCUUCCUCUUUAAGCAAAAGUAAACAAGUACAAAUUAAUAAUGCAAUAACUAAUAAUGUAGUGAUGAAAUACUGCCUUUAUAGUUGCGAAGGCAGGGCACCUGGAUUCACGCAGACUUGUAUUGUAAAGAGAAUAUCUGUUGUCACAUUUACAAAUUUUUUUUUUGUUACUUAGAUCGGUUAAACAAAAGAUCUUCAAGAUUUCUUGAUAAUAAUGAUGUUAUUAUACAUGCAUCAUUAUAUUAUAAUAUAUGGGCAACUUGGUUUUCUCCUUAGAGCAGCAUUAACGCAAGCUCCUAACCACGUCUCUUAGCAUUAAUGGGAUUUAAAAAAAAAGGAAAUUAGUAUAAUGGAGAGAAGACGUAUCUUAAUUAGGAGAAAUAAGAGACGUGUUUUCUUGGACACGUGUUGUGUUUUGCGGGCUUUGUGACUCUCUCCUUCGCUCCAUUUCGUUGCCGCGUCUCUCCAUCUCUCCUCGACGACUCCGGUGAUUUCUUCAUCUCGUCACGAUCGGAUGAAGGAUUAGGCGUCACUCUCGAUUCCUCACGUUUUCGUCUACGAAGACUCUCGGUUCCUCUCCUACCUCACCGUCGACCGUAGUCACUAACGGAAGGAGCUUCGAUCCUCAUCUCGAUCCAUAUCCACUCGAGCAGAUCUCUCUUCCCACCGCGAUGUCGAAAGCUCCGACGUGAACGUGAUCCGUCCCAAAGAGUAUUGGGAUUACGAGUCUCUCAAUGUUGAGUGGGGAGCUCUGAACAAUCUUGGGAGCAUCUACAUCGAUUGUUCGAUGCUAGAUCAAGCUGAAACUGCAUACAGGAACGCUCUAGAGAUCAAACACAUUCGUGCUCAUCAAGGCCUAGCAAGAGUUUACUUCCUGAAGAUUCAACGUAAAAGAAGCGUGCGAGGAGAUGACAAAGCUGAUUGAGAAGGCGUUUAGCAAAGCAGCAGCCUAUGAGAAACGGUCUGAGUACUGCGAACGUGAAAAAGCCAAAGAGGAUCUCGACAUGGCCACAACACUUGACCCUCUUCGAACCUAUCCUUACAGAUACCGAGCUGCUGGUAAACUAAACUCUUCUCUUUGCCUGUUGAUGUAAAGAUCGUAGUUGCUCUUUGUAUCGUUUACAAUCGGUAGAUAGAUCUAGGAAAGCAAUGAAGUUGUGUUUUCUUGGGAAUCGGAUAAGCUCGUACCAUUGUCGUCUCUGUCUUGUGCUGUUCCCUCAUAGUGGCUUCAAUACAUCAUUUUUAUGUUCCCUUAUAGUGGCUUCAAUAAAAAUGAUUUUUGAGUUUUAGCAAUGAUAGAAGCUGUGUUAAUGACUUGGGUAGCUUCUCCACUGUUUUCUUGAGGCAUCGAUUGAAACAGGUGAACUUUAUGUGAUAGUUAGCAUGCUCUGCAUUUUCAUUUCAUUACUCUAAAUCUUUGCAACGAUAUAAACAGAGACGCACGUUUUUCUCUGUGUGUCUUCAUGCUCACAUAUGUUUUAUUAGCUGAAUAUAUGUCGUAGUAGUGUCUUAUUAUGCAUGUUUGUCAAUGGUUCAAAAAAUUUUAAGUUUAAUAAAAAGUUUUUUUAAGAACUUUUAAUUAAGAACCUUGCAAUGGACCACAAACAAGUUUAGGUUUCUUAAUGUUGUUUCUUAACUCACUUUUUCUACUUAAAAGUAUUAAAAAAAAAAUAAGAACCCCCAAAUGGGUCUUUGGGAUAAUCAUGCUCUUAGUCCGCCUAGUAUUUUCUUCCUUUUCCAAGAGUCUUUACGGGGUAUUAGAUGUAUUGAUAGUUUUCUGACAAAAUAAUACUAAAUAUUGUUCCUUCUAAGUACCUUUAUUGCUUUUUUUGGUCUAGUUCAACAGUUUUCUGUUUUUAAUUAUUUUAGUCGGUUUUCUUAUGUUUAUGUUGUAUCUUGAGAUGUUUUAAAUCUCUGUGCAUCAACAAAAGUCCGGUAUUUCUUGCGUGUGUCGUAAGCGCAAAAAAGGAAAAUUCACUAUCAAGAUUGACUUCUGAAGGAUGUGACCGUGUGAGGGAUGUAGGCUUCCACAGUAAAAUAUGUCUUAUUGGUUUAGAAAAUUUUAUUUUUUCUAGAUAAAUAUAUAUUUCUAUAUAGAAAAAAAAAUCGGGUUUUGAGAGUGAUAUAAAUACAGAUAUAAAGAUUUAUAAAUUAAUUCAUUCACAUAAUAAUAAAACACCCUAAAUGAGUAUUUGCUUCGAUAUGUUUUUUCUCUCUUUUGUUUUUUUCGAGUUACUUCUCGUUUGUUCACAGCAUCUUAGUACCGAAUUUAAGUUUUUAAUUAGAAGUUGUAGGCAUAUCUGGUAUACCGUAUACUUGGAGUCUUCACUUUAAUUUUUAGGUCGUACAUGAGGAAGAGCAUGCACUUGGAUACUUGGAAUGUCAUGAUGAAUUCAUCAAGGAGAAAUAAAAGAACCUUCAAAAGUUGAGGAGAAGACAUGUUAAUCAGUAAUCUAAACCGAUGAUCCAACCGAUCAAGAAUAAGUAUAACAAAUGAGCUAACCGAUCACCAUGACAGAUCAAGAUAAUGAUCAUCAACAUUGUUCUAGACGGCUCGAAGAUUCACCAAAGCAAACAUAUUAAGCCAUGUUGAGAUAUCAUCUUAAGUAAUCUACUAUGUUAUUUGAAAUUUCAAGAUUGACUCGGUUUAUUUGAGACGAACUAGCUAGUCUGAACCAAAUUUGUAUUUAAUCAUCUUUAUGAGAUUAUAUGCCUAAUUUUUAUUGUCUAAGUUC